This 669-nucleotide long non-coding RNA is filed under the name Carica papaya (papaya). RNAcentral's name for it is "long non-coding RNA (CPAP_LNC010332)". The record is from RNAcentral. Lineage: Eukaryota; Viridiplantae; Streptophyta; Magnoliopsida; Brassicales; Caricaceae.
ACACAAAUAACACAAAUCAAGAUUCUCAGGCAAUAUAUUCAAGUAUUUUUGCAAAAAUAUAUGAGACAAAUGAAUGCUAAGCACCAGUAUCAAUUAAAAUAUAUGCAAUAUGAUUACAGAUAGUAUAUGUACCCUGUAUCAUGUUCGGGUUGGAUUCAUCAUCCUACUGGGUGAGGUUGUAAGCUUUGCCCUGGAUAAGAGGUCUAGCCUGAUUCUGAUUUUAUGGGCACUCUCAUAUAUGUGGCAUGUAUUGUUGAUGCGAUAACAGGGUCGGUCCCCAUGAUCCUUACCACGAUGCUGACAAGUCCUACCGCGUCCUGUUAUCGAAGCCUGCGUGUCUAACCUAUGCCUCUUAUUCUGCGGUAGGACUUGUGGGGAAAAAUCUCAUACCUCCGGUUUCACAUUACAGACUAGCACCAGCUACAUCAGUUCCUCCCGGGCCUGCUGGGUAGAGAUGAGUUUUUCCAGCAUCUCAAAGAGUCAAUCAAUAUCCUCUCGAAGCAACCUAUCCCAGACUGCUCGGUUUAGUGAUGGUCUGCUUCUCCUCAUAUCAUUGUAUCUGCAUUUCACAAGAAAGGAUUGAACGAUAGUUUGUAUUUGGUGUUUUUAAGUCUUUGUAUAAGAAAUAGUUCCGAGGAAUUUAGCUCUGAUACUAACUGUAAUAGUCUG